GUUUCCAAAUCAGGUGAGCCGUUUCUUUCUUUUGAAGAAUAUGAAACCGCUGCUGUUCCUUUCAUGUCUCUUCGGAGCACACCUAAUCAAAUUACUGGAUGCAGUGUGUCAGAAGCAGUUUUCUCUGUACAUAAUUUCAGUCUACGUCCCAGUUGUGUGGUACACUGAAGCUGAUGGAACAAAGACAGCAUUGCUGAUGGCUAAAGAUCCCAAAACCCAUAAAACUGAUGUAAUACGUCAUGAUUGAGCUCGAGCUUGUCUUUAUUUUCAUAUUUUUCAGAUUAAAUUCUUGUUUUUAAUUAUUUUAACUUUUCUCUACGUUAUUUCCAGCUCAAAACUCCUCAAAUUAUCAGACAAUAUAAACCGUGUUCUUCAAAAAGAUCAAGUUCAAACUGUGUGCUGCUGUGUUCAGUGGCAAAUGCUCCAGAUGCUACUCUAACCAUGUAUAAAGUAGACACUGUAUUCUCCGUGAACAAAUACACUGAUCUCAACAUCUCCCUCAGUUUAUGUCUGGAGGUGGAAAAUCAGGAUAAAAACAACUACAGCUGUGUGAUCAGCAAUCCCACCAGCAACAAAACGAAACAUCUGGACAUUAGUCGAGACUGUCGGGAAUGUAAAGAUAUAUCACAGACACCAGUGUCAGUGAUGGAGGGAGAUUCUGUCACUCUACCCACUAAUAUUUCAGAAGUACAGGAGAAUGAU
Long non-coding RNA from Rhinichthys klamathensis goyatoka, 702 nucleotides. RefSeq lists it as uncharacterized. Lineage: Eukaryota; Metazoa; Chordata; Actinopteri; Cypriniformes; Leuciscidae. The record is from RefSeq and is a predicted model, not a curated record. The transcript is spliced from 3 exons.